UACGUAGGUGACAAGCGUUGUCCGGAUUUACUGGGCGUAAAGAGCGCGCAGGCGGUCGAUCAAGUCGAGUGUGAAAGCCCCCGGCUCAACUGGGGAGGGUCAUUCGAUACUGAUCGACUCGAAGGCAGGAGAGGGUAGUGGAAUUCCCGGUGUAGUGGUGAAAUGCGUAGAUAUCGGGAGGAACACCAGUGGCGAAGGCGGCUAUCUGGACAACAACUGACACUGAGGCACGAAAGCGUGGGGAGCGAACAGG
RNAcentral lists this ribosomal RNA (253 nucleotides) under uncultured bacterium. RNAcentral describes it as "partial 16S ribosomal RNA". It matches the Rfam family "Bacterial small subunit ribosomal RNA", at positions 524 to 776 of the family's 1533-position model. The record is from RNAcentral.